UGGGGAAUAUUGCGCAAUGGGCGAAAGCCUGACGCAGCGACGCCGCGUGAGGGAUGAAGGUUUUCGGAUCGUAAACCUCUGUCGGAAGGGAAGAAGGCGCACCGUGCCAAUCAGCGGUGUGUUGACGGUACCUUCAAAGGAAGCGCCGGCUAACUCCGUGCCAGCAGCCGCGGUAAUACGGAGGGCGCAAGCGUUAAUCGGAAUUACUGGGCGUAAAGCGCGCGUAGGCUGUUUCGUAAGUCAGGGGUGAAAUCCCACGGCUCAACCGUGGAACUGCCCUUGAUACUGCGGGACUUGAAUCCGGGAGAGGGUGGCGGAAUUCCAGGUGUAGGAGUGAAAUCCGUAGAUAUCUGGAGGAACACCAGUGGCGAAGGCGGCCACCUGGCCCGGUAUUGACGCUGAGGUGCGAAAGCGUGGGAGCAAACAGGAUUAGAUACC
Molecule: ribosomal RNA, 438 nt
Filed under: uncultured bacterium
Lineage: Bacteria
Description: bacterial SSU rRNA
Rfam family: Bacterial small subunit ribosomal RNA
Source: RNAcentral